RNAcentral lists this ribosomal RNA (510 nucleotides) under uncultured bacterium. Its description in RNAcentral is "partial 16S ribosomal RNA". It matches the Rfam family "Bacterial small subunit ribosomal RNA", at positions 28 to 507 of the family's 1533-position model. The record is from RNAcentral.
GACGAACGCUGGCGGCGUGCUUAACACAUGCAAGUUGAACGAGGAGCGAUGGAAGCUUGCUUCUAUCAAUCUUAGUGGCGAACGGGUGAGUAACGCGUAAUCAACCUGCCCUUCAGAGGGGGACAACAGUUGGAAACGACUUCUAAUACCGCAUACGAUCUAAUCUCGGCAUCGAGGAAAGAUGAAAGGUGGCCUCUAUUUAUAAGCUAUCACUGAAGGAGGGGAUUGCGUCUGAUUAGCUAGUUGGAGGGGUAACGGCCCACCAAGGCGAUGAUCAGUAGCCGGUCUGAGAGGAUGAACGGCCACAUUGGGACUGAGACACGGCCCAGACUCCUACGGGAGGCAGCAGUGGGGAAUCUUCCGCAAUGGACGAAAGUCUGACGGAGCAACGCCGCGUGAGUGAUGACGGCCUUCGGGUUGUAAAGCUCUGUUAAUCGGGACGAAAGGCCUUCUUGCGAACAGUUAGAAGGAUUGACGGUACCGGAAUAGAAAGCCACGGCUAACUACGUG